This 253-nucleotide ribosomal RNA is filed under the name uncultured bacterium. Its description in RNAcentral is "partial 16S ribosomal RNA". It matches the Rfam family "Bacterial small subunit ribosomal RNA", at positions 524 to 776 of the family's 1533-position model. RNAcentral also lists the same sequence under 1 other name. The record is from RNAcentral.
UACAGAGGUCCCAAGCGUUGUUCGGAUUCACUGGGCGUAAAGGGUGCGUAGGUGGCAAGGUAAGUUUGAUGUGAAAUCUCCGGGCUUAACCCGGAAACUGCAUUGAAUACUAUCUCGCUCGAGAGUUGGAGGGGAGACUGGAAUACUUGGUGUAGCAGUGAAAUGCGUAGAUAUCAAGUGGAACACCAGUGGCGAAGGCGAGUCUCUGGACAACUUCUGACACUGAGGCACGAAAGCUAGGGGAGCAAACAGG